CACACUUUGGGCUGUAAACCUGGACUCCUGACAGGAUCCUGUGGACAGAGAGGGCUGCAGGAGGAAACAGGGGGUGCUUAGAAAUACAGCUUGUUGCCAGUGUAAUGAGGAGUGCCUUGGCGACUGUGCCCGUGGGACAGGCCUUCUCUCGCUUUGUGUGCAGAACAGGAAGAGCCGCGCUCUGGCUCUGUGGACUGUGACCACUCAGCGGGCGUUGGAGGACGGCACCUGGAUGCAGAUGCCCCUCUUGCCAUGGGAGAGGAUGACAAAGUCCUUCUCAUGCUCCUGGAACGUGUCCAUGCUGGCGAUCUCCACCUCCUGGUAGAGCUUGGUGUACAGGGAGCCAAUGAAGUGCAUGUACUGCACCAGGGCCAGGAAGGACACCAGGGAGUCGAUGGUCUUGCGGCUUUUGGUGCUGAUCUUCUCAAUCAACUGAUCCAUGGUUCUGUUACUGGGAACACAAACUAGCACAGGCCUGUUGCCUUGCUGAGUAAACCACGCAACCAGCAUCGUGUAUUCCACAGAAACUGCAGGCAUAUACUAUGGAGAUCCUUCCUGGAAUAGGUAUCUUCUUCAUCUUCUUGGAAGUUCAACUCCUCCAACAACUGGCUGGUCUUGGCCACACUCUGGUCCAUGGCCACAUGCUGCAGGAUGCUCUAGUCUCCUGACCUGCAGAACCAGCUGUCUGGCUGCAGAGCUCACUCUGACCCGGCCUCCUUCGAUGCCACCUCUGAGGUUGCUGGGGGGCUUCUGCAUCUGGCUGGGGAGGGUGAAGUUGGUGAAGUCGAACUUGGAGCCCUGCUGUGCGGGUCAAGCAGCUCGGCUGCCUUGGAUGUCCAGGAAGCUGAAUGCCCACUAUCUGGGCCAGUAGCCUCCAUGCUCAUGGUGCCGCCCCAUAGGGCCCUCAGGCCAGUGCUGCGCCACACUCAAGUCUGCCACCAUGAUGAGGUGGAGGCGUGGCUCCUGCACUCCUGGACAGAACUGAGAUGCCUGCCGCAGCGUGACCUGGACCAAAAGACACGUGCAGGGAGCCCGUGCCGUUCUCCUAGGAGUCGUCCUCCCUCACAGUCCCCAGAAGGAAGCACUAACACCGCCCCCUGUCAUAAGUAGUUUUAAUUUUGCCUUUUUUAGCAGAUGUGAGGUGGC
RNAcentral lists this long non-coding RNA (1146 nucleotides) under Equus caballus (horse). RNAcentral's name for it is "lncRNA (ENSECAG00000055847.1)". Lineage: Eukaryota; Metazoa; Chordata; Mammalia; Perissodactyla; Equidae. The record is from RNAcentral.